ACGUACACUCCUGCGGGAGGCAGCAGUGGGGAAUAUUGCACAAUGGGCGCAAGCCUGAUGCAGCCAUGCCGCGUGUAUGAAGAAGGCCUUCGGGUUGUAAAGUACUUUCAGCGGGGAGGAAGGCGAUAAGGUUAAUAACCUUGUCGAUUGACGUUACCCGCAGAAGAAGCACCGGCUAACUCCGUGCCAGCAGCCGCGGUAAUACGGAGGGUGCAAGCGUUAAUCGGAAUUACUGGGCGUAAAGCGCACGCAGGCGGUCUGUCAAGUCGGAUGUGAAAUCCCCGGGCUCAACCUGGGAACUGCAUUCGAAACUGGCAGGCUAGAGUCUUGUAGAGGGGGGUAGAAUUCCAGGUGUAGCGGUGAAAUGCGUAGAGAUCUGGAGGAAUACCGGUGGCGAAGGCGGCCCCCUGGACAAAGACUGACGCUCAGGUGCGAAAGCGUGGGGAGCAAACAGGAUUAGAUACCCCAGUAGUCCC
This 476-nucleotide ribosomal RNA is filed under the name uncultured organism. RNAcentral's name for it is "partial 16S ribosomal RNA". It matches the Rfam family "Bacterial small subunit ribosomal RNA", at positions 329 to 797 of the family's 1533-position model. The record is from RNAcentral.